AGCCGACACAACUCAGGGUUUGAC
RNAcentral lists this non-coding RNA (24 nucleotides) under Arabidopsis thaliana (thale cress). The record is from RNAcentral. Lineage: Eukaryota; Viridiplantae; Streptophyta; Magnoliopsida; Brassicales; Brassicaceae.